GUGCUUGCUUUGGUAGCACAUCUAUUAAUACUAGAAUAAUACAGAGAUCAUUGAGACACCUGUGCAAGGAUGAGAUGCAAAUUCAUGAAGCAUUCUAUAUGAAA
Sciurus carolinensis (gray squirrel) is the source of this 104-nucleotide small nuclear RNA. The record is from RefSeq and is a predicted model, not a curated record. Lineage: Eukaryota; Metazoa; Chordata; Mammalia; Rodentia; Sciuridae.